RNAcentral lists this ribosomal RNA (301 nucleotides) under uncultured bacterium. Its description in RNAcentral is "partial 16S ribosomal RNA". It matches the Rfam family "Bacterial small subunit ribosomal RNA", at positions 509 to 807 of the family's 1533-position model. The record is from RNAcentral.
CAGUAGCCGCGGGAAAACGUAGGUGGCAAGCGUUGUCCGGAAUUAUUGGGCGUAAAGGGCUCGCAGGCGGUUUCUUAAGUCUGAUGUGAAAGCCCCCGGCUCAACCGGGGAGGGUCAUUGGAAACUGGGAAACUUGAGUGCAGAAGAGGAAAGUGGAAUUCCAUGUGUAGCGGUGAAAUGCGCAGAGAUAUGGAGGAACACCAGUGGCGAAGGCGACUUUCUGGUCUGUAACUGACGCUGAUGUGCGAAAGCGUGGGGAUCAAACAGGAUUAGAUACCCCAGUAGUCCCUGUCUCUUAUAC